AAACUAGGAUUAGAUACCCUUUUAUAAUUUUUGAAGGUAUUAAGAAAUGUUUUUUAAACCUAAUGUUUCUGGCGGUUUUUUUUCUUUUCAGAGGGGCUUGUUUUUUAAUCGAUAGUCCUCGUUUAAAUUUUCUUUUAUUAUUAUUUUAUAUACCUCCGUUUGAAGAUAAUUAUUAGUUUACUUUUCUUUUUAAUUUUUUAUGAAAUUCAGGUCAAGGUUUAAUUUAUAUAUGAGAAAAAAUUAGCCAUGUAUUUUUAUCUUUUUUGUAAAUAGAUUUUUAGGAUUUGUUGGUAAAUUUUUGUUAGUUUCUUCUUUUGAAUUAGUAAAAAAAGAUGUACAUAUCGCCCGUCACUCUUUUGAAAGAUAAGUCGUAACAUAGUA
RNAcentral lists this ribosomal RNA (381 nucleotides) under Unionicola ypsilophora. Its description in RNAcentral is "partial 12S ribosomal RNA". The record is from RNAcentral. Lineage: Eukaryota; Metazoa; Arthropoda; Arachnida; Trombidiformes; Unionicolidae.